ACUGAUUACAAGCUUGCUUCUAUGACGUUAGCGGCGGACGGGUGAGUAACACGUGGGCAACCUGCCUGUAAGACUGGGAUAACUCCGGGAAACCGGAGCUAAUACCGGAUAACAUUUUCUCUUGCAUAAGAGAAAAUUGAAAGAUGGUUUCGGCUAUCACUUACAGAUGGGCCCGCGGUGCAUUAGCUAGUUGGUGAGGUAACGGCUCACCGGGGCAACGAUGCAUAGCCGACCUGAGAGGGUGAUCGGCCACACUGGGACUGAGACACGGCCCAGACUCCUACGGGAGGCAGCAGUAGGGAAUCUUCCGUAAUG
Molecule: ribosomal RNA, 315 nt
Filed under: Priestia flexa
Lineage: Bacteria; Bacillati; Bacillota; Bacilli; Caryophanales; Bacillaceae
Description: bacterial SSU rRNA
Rfam family: Bacterial small subunit ribosomal RNA
Source: RNAcentral